RNAcentral lists this ribosomal RNA (253 nucleotides) under uncultured bacterium. Its description in RNAcentral is "partial 16S ribosomal RNA". It matches the Rfam family "Bacterial small subunit ribosomal RNA", at positions 524 to 776 of the family's 1533-position model. The record is from RNAcentral.
GACGGAGGGGGCAAGCGUUGCUCGGAAUUACUGGGCGUAAAGGGCGCGUAGGCGGCCUUCUAAGUCAGACGUGAAAUCCCCCGGCUUAACCUGGGAACUGCGUCUGAUACUGGGAGGCUUGAGUAUGGGAGAGGGAUGUAGAAUUCCAGGUGUAGCGGUGAAAUGCGUAGAUAUCUGGAGGAAUACCGGUGGCGAAGGCGGCAUCCUGGACCAUUACUGACGCUGAGGCGCGAAAGCUAGGGGAGCAAACGGG